CACGACUCAGGCUGGGAAGCUGCGGCUGGGGUGAUGGAGGAGACACCCCCCGUUUGGACGAAGGGAAGCCACCGCGCCCCGGGCAUCCAGGAGGGGUCCGGCGCUACGCGCGCGCGGGAUUGGCCCAGCUCGACCUGGGCCCCCUGCCGGGGGAAAGUGCCGACCGGGCUGGGAGGAGGGAGCGACCUACGCCGGGCCGGGCGAGGGCGGACUGGAAGCAGCGGGGCUCGCGCGGGAGCGCCUCUAGGUUCUAGACCGUCCGCCGAGCCCCACCUCCUUGGUUUUUGCCAUUUUCUUCAUACCAUAAAAAUAAAAAGUACCUCCCAUCAAUGCAUUUAUCAAGCAAGUAUAGUCUCAUUUCUCACAAAGAACAAUUCCGAAGUGAAUAACAUCUCUAUGACGGAUGUUGGAACUCUAUGCAACUGAGAAUAUUAGCCCACUUGCAGAUAUUCCUGUCACACCUGUAACCACUGUUGAGGUGCUACGCUGGCUCUCUCCUUGAGAGGCUGACUGGGCCACAGCAUCAUCACAAAGGCUAACAAAGACUGGGGAUCAAGGCGGUGGCCCAUUAUCACAUUCCUCUCUGUAAACUCUGUUGCUGAAUUACAUGCCUUAUGAUCCUUUGAUGCCAGGCAAGUCUGACACUUCCCACCUUCUCUUGGAAGAGAUUUUGUAUCUGUGAAUUAUAAAGUAAAUACAGGACUCUUAAACAAUACGUGACUACUGAUGCAUUCACUUUUUCAGGU
This 746-nucleotide long non-coding RNA is filed under the name Callithrix jacchus (white-tufted-ear marmoset). RNAcentral describes it as "lncRNA (ENSCJAG00000082574.1)". Lineage: Eukaryota; Metazoa; Chordata; Mammalia; Primates; Cebidae. The record is from RNAcentral.